This 459-nucleotide ribosomal RNA is filed under the name uncultured bacterium. RNAcentral's name for it is "partial 16S ribosomal RNA". It matches the Rfam family "Bacterial small subunit ribosomal RNA", at positions 338 to 795 of the family's 1533-position model. The record is from RNAcentral.
CCUACGGGAGGCAGCAGUGAGGAAUAUUGGUCAAUGGACGAGAGUCUGAACCAGCCAAGUAGCGUGAAGGAUGACUGCCCUCUGGGUUGUAAACUUCUUUUUUAUGGGAAUAAAAUGUUCCACGUGUGGGAUUUUGUAUGUACCAUAUGAAUAAGGAUCGGCUAACACCGUCCCAGCAGCCGCGGUAAUAUGGAGGAUCCGAGCGUUAUCCGGUUUUAUUGGGUUUAAGGGAGCGUAGGUAGUUUGUUAAGUCAGGUGUGAAAGUUUGUGGCUUAACCGGAAAAUUGCAGUUGAAACUGGCAGUCUAGAGUACAGUAGAGGUGGGCGGAAUGCGUGGUGUAGCGGUGAAAUGCGUAGAUAUCACGAAGAACUCCGAUUGCGAAGGCAGUUCACUGGACUGCAACUGACACUGAGGCUCGAAAGUGUGGGUAUCAAACAGGAUUAGAUACCCGUGUAGUC